GUUUUUUGAAUUUUAUUUUUGUUUUUGUUUUCAUAGGGAAACAGGUAUGUGACACCUGAGCGACCUAGCCAGCACUCAAAUACAGGAAUUCUGCGUCAGACCUGUGACUCUCAGUACGCCAUAAUGCUGCCUUGUUGAGUAAUGAAUAUAUUGUCACUGCAUCGAGGGAGGUGUGACGUGGCAGGCAUCGCUGUCCCUUCCAGAAAGGCAGCGCCCUUCAUGUUGCAGAUGUGGUCAAAGAGGACAAGGACGUCCACAUGUGAUGUGGCAACAGGUCAGGGAAACACUUCAAAAAGAAAGCAACCUUAUCUGGCAAUUGCCUAUCUAAGUGAUACUACAAUGUACUUAUCUUGCAAUUAUAGUUUUAGACCUCUACCCAAAUAAAUACAAUGACAUUGCAAAACUUCC
Molecule: long non-coding RNA, 408 nt
Filed under: Mustela putorius furo (domestic ferret)
Lineage: Eukaryota; Metazoa; Chordata; Mammalia; Carnivora; Mustelidae
Description: lncRNA (ENSMPUG00000030597.1)
Source: RNAcentral